This 277-nucleotide ribosomal RNA is filed under the name uncultured bacterium. Its description in RNAcentral is "partial 16S ribosomal RNA". It matches the Rfam family "Bacterial small subunit ribosomal RNA", at positions 1226 to 1500 of the family's 1533-position model. The record is from RNAcentral.
UACAAUGGCGUAAACAAAGGGAAGCGAGAGGGUGACCUUAAGCAAAACCCAAAAAAUAAACGUCCCAGUUCGGAUUGUAGUCUGCAACCCGACUACAUGAAGCUGGAAUCGCUAGUAAUCGCGGAUCAGAAUGCCGCGGUGAAUACGUUCCCGGGUCUUGUACACACCGCCCGUCACACCAUGGGAGUUGGGAAUGCCCGAAGCCGGUGACCUAACCGAGAGGGAGGAGCCGUCGAAGGCAGGUCUGAUGACUGGGGUGAAGUCGUAACAAGGUACC